UUCCUUUAGUCCGGAUAGUCAGCAGUUGAUGAGGAACAUUUCACUUAAAUGUGAGCCAUCCUCUUAUAAGGAAGCAGUAUUAAAUCCUGCUUGGCAGAUUGCAAUGACACAGGAAUUUGAAGCUCUGUAUGCAAACCAUACUUGGGAUCUUGUCCAAUUACCUACUGGAAAGAGAACCAUUGGUUGCAGGUGGGUUUACAAGGUUAAACACAAGGUUGAUGGAAGUAUAGAAAGGUUCAAGGAUAGACUCGUGGUGAAGGGAUACACACUAAAACAUGGUGUUGAUUAUAGUGAAACUUUCUCACUAGUAGUGAAGAUGACUAUUAUAAGAAUUUUUCUCAAUAUAGCGAUAAAGAAAGGAUGGAAACUCCAUCAACUUAAUGUCAACAAUGCUUUUCUACAUGGUGAUUUGCAUGAAAAGGUGUAUAUGGACCCUCCAAAGGGCCUAUUGUUGGAUAAUCCAAACCUUGUAUGCAAGCUAAGGAAAUCCUUGUACAGUUUGAAACAAGCUAGUAGGCAGUGGUAUGAAAAACUAGUUGAAUCUUUAUGUUUGCAGGGUUAUGUACAUUCUGCUAGUGAUUAAUCUUUAUUUUACAAGAAAACUCAUGGUUAUGUAGUUUUUGUUGUUGUGCAUAUUGAUGAUGUUAUAGUUACUGGUACUGAUGAGAAGGAGAUACACCAGCUGAAGUUGUUUUUACACAACAAGUUCAAAAUCAAAGAUCUGGGACAUCUAUAUUAUUUCUUGGGGUUAGAGGUAUUAUACAGACAUGUGGAAUUUUAAUUUUCCAGAGAAAAUUUGUCACUGAUUUGUUGAAAGAGUAUGAUCACCUGAACUACAACACUACUGCUUCCCCUCUUGAUCCCAAUGUUAAGUUACUAGCAAAUGAGGGAAAGUUGUUGUCUGACCCAACACCUUAUAAAAACCUGGUUGGGAAGCUGAAUUUUCUCACAAACACUAGGCUGGACCUUGCAUAUAGUGUGCAACAUCUUAGCCAAUUUAUGCAGGCUCCUAGAGAUCCCUAUUUCAAAGCUGCUUUACAUGUCCUGAGGUACUUAAAAUCAGAUCCAACCUUGGGUCUUUUCUUGUCAAAUGAUCCCAACUACACUCUGUUAGCUUGUUGUGACUCUGAUUAGGCUUCAUGUCCAGAUUCAAGAAGGCCUGUCAGUGGAUAUGUUGUGUUUCUUGGCAAUAGUCCAGUUAGUUGGAAAUCCAAGAAACAAACUACCAUUUCUCUAUUAUUAGCUGAGGCAGAGUAUCGGUCACUUAGAAAGGUUGUUGGUGAACGAGUAUGGGUGGAUAGACUGCUAACUGAGUUAACUAUUGUCUCCACCAAGCCUAUUUCAGUACUUUGCGAUAGUCAAGCAACCAUACACAUUGCAAGGAAUCCUGUUUUUCAUGAGAGAACUAAACAUAUAGAAGUAGACUGUCAUUUUGUCCGGAACAAGCUACAUGAAGGCCUCAUUACUUUGCAACAUGUUACUACAAAUGCUCAACUUGCAGACAUCUUGACAAAGUCUCUUACUGGAGUUAAGCACAUACUGUGUUAGGAAAGUUGGCUGUACUUUCAGCACCUCCAACUCGAAGGGGGGGUGUUGAGAUUAUUGAAGAAUCAUGUAAAGUUCUUACUGGAGUUAAGCAUCAUACUGUGUUAGGCAAGUUGGUUGUACUUUCAGCACCUCCAACUCGAAGGGGGGGUGUUGAGAUUAUUGAAGAAUCAUGUAAAGUAUGAUUAGCUGGUAGAUUAGAAUAUUUAAUUAUGUUGUUAGUGGUAGUUAGUUAGCUGACUAGACUUAGCUAGUUAGAUAGUUGUUGACAGCUGGCACCUACACACACUUGUAUAUAUGUAGAUUUUGCAUUCACGGAAUAGAG
This 1870-nucleotide long non-coding RNA is filed under the name Capsicum annuum. RNAcentral's name for it is "long non-coding RNA (CANN_LNC018238)". The record is from RNAcentral. Lineage: Eukaryota; Viridiplantae; Streptophyta; Magnoliopsida; Solanales; Solanaceae.